GUAGGUGAACCUGCGGAAGGAUCAUUACUGAGUUUAUGCCCUAACGGGUAGAUCUCCACCCUUGAAUACAAACUCUUGUUGCUUUGGCGGGCCGCUUCGGCUACUGGCUUCGGCUGGUGAGUGCCUGCCAGAGGACCCCAAAUUCUGAAUUAUAGUGUCGUCUGAGAACUAUAUAAUAGUUAAAACUUUCAACAACGGAUCUCUUGGUUCUG
RNAcentral lists this unclassified non-coding RNA (212 nucleotides) under rhizosphere metagenome. RNAcentral's name for it is "partial ribosomal RNA internal transcribed spacer region". The record is from RNAcentral.